RNAcentral lists this ribosomal RNA (1080 nucleotides) under Trichoderma sp. CMF6. Its description in RNAcentral is "eukaryotic LSU rRNA". The stretch from base 499 to 1080 matches the Rfam family "Eukaryotic large subunit ribosomal RNA", at positions 1 to 590 of the family's 3401-position model. The record is from RNAcentral. Lineage: Eukaryota; Fungi; Ascomycota; Sordariomycetes; Hypocreales; Hypocreaceae.
GGGGAAACUGUUGCCUCGGCGGGAUCUCUGCCCCGGGUGCGUCGCAGCCCCGGACCAAGGCGCCCGCCGGAGGACCAACCAAAACUCUUAUUGUAUACCCCCUCGCGGGUUUUUUUAUAAUCUGAGCCUUCUCGGCGCCUCUCGUAGGCGUUUCGAAAAUGAAUCAAAACUUUCAACAACGGAUCUCUUGGUUCUGGCAUCGAUGAAGAACGCAGCGAAAUGCGAUAAGUAAUGUGAAUUGCAGAAUUCAGUGAAUCAUCGAAUCUUUGAACGCACAUUGCGCCCGCCAGUAUUCUGGCGGGCAUGCCUGUCCGAGCGUCAUUCCAACCCUCGAACCCCUCCGGGGGGUCGGCGUUGGGGAUCGGCCCUCCCUUAGCGGGUGGCCGUCUCCGAAAUACAGUGGCGGUCUCGCCGCAGCCUCUCCUGCGCAGUAGUUUGCACACUCGCAUCGGGAGCGCGGCGCGUCCACAGCCGUUAAACACCCAACUUCUGAAAUGUUGACCUCGGAUCAGGUAGGAAUACCCGCUGAACUUAAGCAUAUCAAUAAGCGGAGGAAAAGAAACCAACAGGGAUUGCCCCAGUAACGGCGAGUGAAGCGGCAACAGCUCAAAUUUGAAAUCUGGUCCCUAGGGCCCGAGUUGUAAUUUGUAGAGGAUGCUGGUGGUGAGGUGCCGCCCGAGUUCCCUGGAACGGGACGCCACAGAGGGUGAGAGCCCCGUCUGGCUGGCCGCCGAGCCUCUGUAAAGCUCCUUCGACGAGUCGAGUAGUUUGGGAAUGCUGCUCAAAAUGGGAAGGUAUAUGUCUUCUAAAGCUAAAUAUUGGCCAGAGACCGAUAGCGCACAAGUAGAGUGAUCGAAAGAUGAAAAGCACCUUGAAAAGAGGGUUAAAUAGUACGUGAAAUUGUUGAAAGGGAAGCGCUUGUGACCAGACUUGGGCGCGGCGGAUCCAUCCGGGGUUCUCUCCGGUGCACUUCGCCGCGUCUAGGCCAGCAUCAGUUCGUCCCCGGGGGGAAAAAGGUUUCGGGAACGUGGUCCUCUCCGGGGAGUGUUAAUAGCCCGUUGCUAAAAGGCCGGUAAACUU